RNAcentral lists this ribosomal RNA (468 nucleotides) under uncultured bacterium. RNAcentral describes it as "partial 16S ribosomal RNA". It matches the Rfam family "Bacterial small subunit ribosomal RNA", at positions 28 to 507 of the family's 1533-position model. The record is from RNAcentral.
GACGAACGCUGGCGGCGUGCUUAACACAUGCAAGUCGAACGGAAAGGCCCUGCUUUUGUGGGGUGCUCGAGUGGCGCACGGGUGUGUAACACGUGAGUAACCUGCCCUUUACUCUGGGGUAACUUCAGGAAACUGGGGCUAUUACCGGAUAGGAGCUCCUGCUGCAUGGUGGGGGUUGGAAAGUUUCGGCGGUUGGGGAUGGACUCGCGGCUUAUCAGCUCGUUGUGGGGGUGGUGGCUUACCCUGGCUUUGACGGGUCGCCGGGCUGAGAGGGUGACCUGCCACAUUGGGACUGAGAUACGGCGCAGACUGCGACGGGAGGCAGCAGUGGGGAAUAUUGCACAAUGGGCGGAAGCCUGAUGCAGCAACGCCGCGUGCGGGAGGACGGCCUUCGGGUUGUAAACCGCUUUCGCCUGUGACGAAGCGUGAGUGACGGUAAUGGGUAAAGAAGCACCGGCUAACUACGUG